CCUACGGGCGGCAGCAGUGGGGAAUAUUGGGCAAUGGGCGAAAGUCUGACCCAGCAACGCCGCGUGAAGGAAGAAGGCUUUCGGGUUGUAAACUUCUUUUGACAGGGAAGAGCAGAAGGCGGUACCUGUCGAAUAAGCCACGGCUAACUACGUGCCAGCAGCCGCGGUAAUACGUAGGUGGCAAGCGUUUUCCGGAUUUACUGGGUGGAAAGGGCGUGUAGCCGGGCUGACAAGUCAGAUGUUAAAUCCGGGGGCUCAACCCCCGAACUGCAUUUGAAACUGUUGGUCUUGAGUAUCGGAGAGGCAGGCGGAAUUCCGUGUGUAGCGGUGAAAUGCGUAGAUAUUAGGAGGAACACCAGUGGCGAAGGCGGCCUGCUGGACGAUAACUGACGGUGAGGCGCGAAAGCGUGGGGAGCAAACAGGAUUAGAUACCCGUGUAGUC
Molecule: ribosomal RNA, 442 nt
Filed under: uncultured bacterium
Lineage: Bacteria
Description: partial 16S ribosomal RNA
Rfam family: Bacterial small subunit ribosomal RNA
Source: RNAcentral